RNAcentral lists this long non-coding RNA (517 nucleotides) under Homo sapiens (human). RNAcentral describes it as "HSALNT0306809". Lineage: Eukaryota; Metazoa; Chordata; Mammalia; Primates; Hominidae. The record is from RNAcentral.
UGGUACUUGAUGGCUGUUUCAGAGAAGGAAACAACAUUCCUCUGAUGCUAACUGGUGCUUCUGAGAGCAAAAUGUCAGGGAGGAGAGAAGCAUGGCCUCUCGAGACAAACCCAGGCUGCUAAGAAUGUAAGCUCUGGUCUCACUUUGCGUUCCAGCCAAACACCUAAGUGCUCCUUUCUAUGACCAAAGAAUUCUUCACUGAUUAAAAUCUGGUUACAAAACAAGGGACCUAGAGAGAUGUUCACUUCACCACUUCUCUACAGAUGCCUCCUGCUGCUUCCAACUUUUCUCCUUUAAGGCAGGGUGAAUCCAAAUCAUGGUCUUAGCCCUGAAGGAGGCACCAAAGCAGUUUCGUUGCCCUGUGAAAAGCUUCUAGAGGAGCUCAUCUGAAUGCUUGAAGAAACCAGCCGCCCUUGCAAUUACCUAAAAGGAAUUGAGUCAUUUUAACAAGACAUUAUUUCUGCCAUCCACGGUCACAAUCAUCUCUUUGAAAAAUAAAUACUCUUGGUUUGUUGUU